This 584-nucleotide ribosomal RNA is filed under the name uncultured bacterium. RNAcentral describes it as "bacterial SSU rRNA". It matches the Rfam family "Bacterial small subunit ribosomal RNA", at positions 338 to 916 of the family's 1533-position model. The record is from RNAcentral.
CCUACGGGAGGCAGCAGUGGGGAAUUUUGGACAAUGGGCGAAAGCCUGAUCCAGCAAUGCCGCGUGAGUGAAGAAGGCCUUCGGGUUGUAAAGCUCUUUUGUCAGGGAAGAAACGGUGAGGGCUAAUAUCCUUUGCUAAUGACGGUACCUGAAGAAUAAGCACCGGCUAACUACGUGCCAGCAGCCGCGGUAAUACGUAGGGUGCAAGCGUUAAUCGGAAUUACUGGGCGUAAAGCGUGCGCAGGCGGUUUUGUAAGUCUGAUGUGAAAUCCCCGGGCUCAACCUGGGAAUUGCAUUGGAGACUGCAAGGCUAGAAUCUGGCAGAGGGGGGUAGAAUUCCACGUGUAGCAGUGAAAUGCGUAGAUAUGUGGAGGAACACCGAUGGCGAAGGCAGCCCCCUGGGUCAAGAUUGACGCUCAUGCACGAAAGCGUGGGGAGCAAACAGGAUUAGAUACCCUGGUAGUCCACGCCCUAAACGAUGUCUACUAGUUGUCGGGUCUUAAUUGACUUGGUAACGCAGCUAACGCGUGAAGUAGACCGCCUGGGGAGUACGGUCGCAAGNUUAAAACUCAAAGGAUUGACGG